Molecule: non-coding RNA, 73 nt
Organism: Phanerochaete sordida
Lineage: Eukaryota; Fungi; Basidiomycota; Agaricomycetes; Polyporales; Phanerochaetaceae
Source: the annotation of a GenBank genome assembly
CCCCUGAUAGCUCAGUUGGAAGAGCGUAAGACUGUAAAUCUUAAUGUCGCCUGUUCGAACCAGGCUCAGGGGA